GACGAACGCUGGCGGCGUGCUUAACACAUGCAAGUCGAACGGAAAGGCCCUGCUUUUGUGGGGUGCUCGAGUGGCGAACGGGUGAGUAACACGUGAGUAACCUGCCCUUGACUUUGGGAUAACUUCAGGAAACUGGGGCUAAUACCGGAUAGGAGCUCCUGCUGCAUGGUGGGGGUUGGAAAGUUUCGGCGGUUGGGGAUGGACUCGCGGCCUAUCAGCUUGUUGGUGGGGUAGUGGCUUACCAAGGCUUUGACGGGUAGCCGGCCUGAGAGGGUGACCGGCCACAUUGGGACUGAGAUACGGCCCAGACUCCUACGGGAGGCGGCAGUGGGGAAUAUUGCACAAUGGGCGGAAGCCUGAUGCAGCAACGCCGCGUGCGGGAUGACGGCCUUCGGGUUGUAAACCGCUUUCGCCUGUGACGAAGCGUGAGUGACGGUAAUGGGUAAAGAAGCACCGGCUAACUACGUG
Molecule: ribosomal RNA, 468 nt
Filed under: uncultured bacterium
Lineage: Bacteria
Description: partial 16S ribosomal RNA
Rfam family: Bacterial small subunit ribosomal RNA
Source: RNAcentral